GACGAACGCUGGCGGCGUGCUUAACACAUGCAAGUCGAGCGAGAACCAGACCUUCGGGUCUGGGGACAGCGGCGAACGGGUGAGUAACACGUGGGCAACCUGCCCUAGAGACUGGGAUAACGUUCCGAAAGGGACGCUAAUACCGGAUGACGCGUGACCCGCCAAGUGGGUUACGCCAAAUGGUAGCUUCGGCUUCUGCUCUGGGAUGGGCCCGCGCCGGAUUAGCUUGUUGGUGAGGUAACGGCUCACCAAGGCAACGAUGCGUAGCCGACCUGAGAGGGUGAUCGGCCACACUGGGACUGAGACACGGCCCAGACUCCUACGGGAGGCAG
This 332-nucleotide ribosomal RNA is filed under the name uncultured Actinomycetes bacterium. Its description in RNAcentral is "bacterial SSU rRNA". It matches the Rfam family "Bacterial small subunit ribosomal RNA", at positions 28 to 351 of the family's 1533-position model. Lineage: Bacteria; Bacillati; Actinomycetota; Actinomycetes. The record is from RNAcentral.